RNAcentral lists this unclassified non-coding RNA (348 nucleotides) under soil metagenome. RNAcentral's name for it is "partial contains 5.8S ribosomal RNA, internal transcribed spacer 2, and large subunit ribosomal RNA". The stretch from base 1 to 120 matches the Rfam family "5.8S ribosomal RNA", at positions 35 to 154 of the family's 154-position model. The record is from RNAcentral.
GAUGAAGAACGUAGCGAAAUGCGAUAAGUAAUGUGAAUUGCAGAAUUCAGUGAAUCAUCGAAUCUUUGAACGCACAUUGCGCCCGCCAGUAUUCUGGCGGGCAAGCCUGUCUGAGCGUCAUUUCAACCCUCAUGCCCCUAGGGCGUGGUGUUGGGGAUCGGCCAAAGCCCGCGAGGGACGGCCGGCCCCUAAAUCUAGUGGCGGACCCGUCGUGGCCUCCUCUGCGAAGUAGUGAUAUUCCGCAUCGGAGAGCGACGAGCCCCUGCCGUUAAACCCCCAACUUUCCAAGGUUGACCUCAGAUCAGGUAGGAAUACCCGCUGAACUUAAGCAUAUCAAUAAGCGGAGGA